GCGCGGAGCGGUGCGGGCUGCCGGCGGUGCAGGCCGUCGCUGCCGGGGAGCCGGCAGGCAUCGCCCCGAAGGCUGUGAGCGCUGACAGGUGAGGAGGAGCAGCUUAGGCAGAAGGAGAAAUCCUCCGGACUUACAGGAGGCAGAACUAGCACUACUCAAAUGGACACCACACCGAAAAUAUGUUAUCUCUUUAAUUGCACAAAUAUUCCAUUAAGUUAAAGAAGGUGGCCUAAAGCACUGAAAUUUGCCAUUCAACAGCUCAUCAAAGGCUUUGAAACACUUUAUAAAGAAUCAUAAUUUCUGACUGAAGAUUUCUGCAGAGAGAUGUAGAGGGUCACAUUCUUAGCUGGUAUAAAAAUGAGGUCUGAGCAUCCUCCAGUAAUGAACUGACCAACACGAUCCAUGCGUUUUCUACUUGCCAGAAUAACGGUGGUACCAAAUCAUGGUCCGUAUAGUCUAUCCAGAAAAACAGAAGCAGAGCCUUGAGAGGUCAAAAUACAUAUGGCUUUACCAAAAUCACAGAGUUUACAUCGACUGAAGGCCUGACCUGCCAUCAACAGCACAGUGCAGCUUAUACUGCUUUGGGAGGGAAGGGAAACAGCAACAAUUUAAAAAUCCUUGUUCCCCUGUGGUCAGAAAUGGUAUGCUGGAUUCGUACUAGUAUGCAACCACAUUUAAACAUAGCUGUGGCUGGCAUAGCCUGAAUUCUAAUGUGGACAGCACCUAAUUUAGGAAAGACGCGGGAGAAGCUGAAUGUAAAUGCGCAUAGGGGAAUAUAAAUGACUGGCACCAGUGUCACUUUCACUUUGUUAUUAAAAGCAGUCUCGGUGCUUUGGAAGCAAACAGGCAUCAGAGAAGUGGAACUGGCUGCUGCUUUUAGCACAAGGACAGGGACCCUCUAAUUUUAACUCUUCAUGAAUGUAGCAUAUGAGCAAGAUAGAUACACUGAUGGAAGCAGGGAAGGAAUCUGGCCAUCCUCGGAAUACAGGCAGCUCCAGCUGAGAUCGCAUCAUGUUCUGGUUUGGAGGCCCUCACUUAGGUUUUAUGCCACACCAGUUCCUAGACAAAAGCCAAUUUCUUCCUUAUGAGAAUUAGUUUUUUCCACUGGGAGCAAAGCUAUUAAAUGACUGCAGAAGACAGUGUAGGUGAGGGUCACUUCUCAGCUGUAAGUUAAAGGUCAUUGUCAUCUACUAGAAGGCAGGAGACUUUGGCAGCUGUGUGUUUUUGCCGUCAUAGUAUCUCACAGGGAAACGUUUUCUCUGCCAUGGCAAGUUGCCUGAACCAUUUGGUCAGUUGUAGGCUGCUUAGCUCGUUGCCUAAACCAAGGACGGCGAACCAAGGUGCUGCGGCUCUGCGGAACGGAGGCGAACGUCCGUCCUGUGCCCCGAACACCCUCCCGCCACAGAGGGAGACGAGCCCCAGGCAGGGGAAUGCACUGCUGAGCUGUCACAUUCACUGCAGAGAGGCUGAUCCAGCUGGAACUGACAGAUCAACGUUAAGCUCAGGUGAUUAAAAAGGCAGGGGUUACACCACUGUAUUGCCUUCACUUGCCGCGGAUGUUUUCCAGUGUAGACGAACACCCUGUUGCAUUCAUUUCUACAUAAAAUAAUACCAUUUGCUUUGUAAAUUAGGACUGCAUAGCUCUUAGCACAAUGUGCUGCUAUCUGCCUAUGUCGUUUUUAGCAGGGUGUUAAUAAAUAUACAGGUUGGCCUUGUCACUGCUUCUGAAAUAAAUUAAGGUUUCUUUUGUCAAAGCUUUUAAUAGACUUUUGGAUUGGAAAAGUGCCGAGAUGGUCACAGGAUCGCAUGACUCAGAGGGCUACUAGAUUUAAAAGUGCUUUAAAAGUUUAAAACAAUAAAAAUAGCUCUACUGUGUCAUUUUUAAUAGAUAUAAAUGUGCGUUACACAAUUCAGACCCAGAAACUCCUUUCAGUAAUGAACAAAGAUCAUCAUCAUAGCUGACAUUUCUGAAAUGUUUGAGAAGUAAGUUCAAGGUCAUGUUUGAAUGCAAACAUGCUACACAUAGUAAUUAUCAUGAGUUUGUUAUAUUUACUGUAACAAAGUAUUCAGAGAGUCAUGCAUCAAGUAAACUAAUGGUCUAUUAUUGAGCAAAGUUUAACAUCAAGCAAUGUGCUAUGAAUUUUAAAACAUUUUUCAAUGUCAGACACAGAAAUUGUAAUGAGAAAAGUAUCUUGAUUAUGAAAGAUUUGCGAAAGGGGAGAAGAAGGGGAGAGGGGAAGGAGAGUAGAGGGAAAGGUUUUAAAAAAAAAAAAAAACAACAAAACAACCUUUUCCGAAAGCAUAGUAUUUAGAUCCUGUUGCGUAGCUAACCGGAUGGGAACUAUAGAAAUCUUUCAAAUCGUGUUAUGAAUAUUACUAUCUUAAACUUCCCAGGCAGGUGAAACUCUCUCCUGUUCAUUUCCAAGCUUGUACAUUUUGACCCACUGUCAGACUGAAACUGCAUGGCUGAAAGUGCUCUUGGCCUCUCCAGGAGACCUCUGUGAGUAAUGCACAGGUCUCAUCUCCUGACACAAGAUCCCUUCGCUGGAGGCAGUUUCAGUAUUAAUCAGUCUGUAGUCGCUAUGGGCUACAACCUGCUAACAAAAACCUUGGACUUCUCACUGAUUCAUUGUAGUCAGUGCUCUUAUUUAACAGGGUUUUAAUUUAAGCGACGUAAUUGCCUCCAAGAUUGUUUUUAAGCAAAAGUUUUUGGGCCAAAGAUGUUUAUUGAUCCCAUGGUCUUUUCCUACUACUUGUUUCAUAUUUGCACUGUGCUAAAAUUUUGGCUUGCCUUUCUUUUAAAAACCCUGGCAAGACAUUAUUGAUUUCACACGGGGGACAAAUCCUGGAGAAUUGUCCAGGAAGACACAUUAAUAUCUGUGCUGGGGACGGCAGCCAGACCUGCAGACAAAGUGAAUGGGAGUUGGGUUCAGGGACACGUUUGUUCAAGACAUCUCUAGAAGCAAGGCAGUCACAUGGCCUUCAUCACUCUUUUGUGAUGUGGCCCUACCACAGGAAGAUCCCAGGGGUGAAUUUCACUCAAAAAGUGGAAAUCAAGUUAAGUGCUUAGCCAAAAUGGCAUUGCUGUGGUUAUUAGAGAUAAGGGAGAGGGUUAAGAUUCCGAUCUGAAGGCCUAGACCACACCAUAAGAAUUAGGGAAAUGAUUUAGCUGGCUCUACAAAUUGAGCUCAGCAGGGAAGUGCAAAUACAGCAGUGGGAUCCAGUAGCUCCAUGAAGGAGUUAGACAAAAUGUUAAUUCCCAGCAAAUAAUCUUGAAAGGUGUAUUUCAGCAAAGCAUUUCACCACUGUUUAGAUAUUUCACUUGGGCAGGCACAGGCUGCUAAGAGGUGUCCUCCAGAAAUCACAGAAAAAGAUACUAACCUCCAAAUAAAGGGAGAACUAGAUUUGCUACCCAAGAGAUGCAGUUAGUAUUUGAUGCAAUUCAUAUUUUUGCACCCAAUGAAUGCCCAUCUAACGAAAGGAUUUAUUUCUGGGUCGGUACCAUCUUCAUUAUUUCCAAAGCCCUGGGAAUGACCAUUACAGUCAUUGUAACAGUCCUUGCCUUCUUCCUGUGACAGUUUUCAUUGGCAGAUCUCAACAUGCUUUACAAAAGAAGUCAAAAUCAUUAACCCCAUCUUACAAACAGGAUAAAUAAGGCACAAGAGGAAGGGAGGGGGCAAGAUCUCUCCUGAGGUCAGACAAGGACUCAGACACAAGCAGGCACAGUCCCAGGCCAGCGAUCAGCUGUGUAGGUUCCUAAGCUAGCCCCUCUGCUCAUCUGCUUUGGGCCUUUGGUGGUUUUUUUUAAAAGGUCUAUACGCACAAAUGUGGGACUGAUAGAGAACUGGUCGCUAGCUGGUGGAGUCCAGGAUGGAUCAUCUACGUUGUUUCACUAUUGUCAAUGUGCAACGAUUUUUUGUUCCCCACCCAAAAUUACUUAGCAAACACUUUUUAAUAACGCUAGAAGUACCUGUGUCUAUUUAAAAGCAUUUCCUUCUGCAAAGCUACUCCCAAGCAUAGUGGCAUAUAUUAUUUUUUUAAAACAGAGCAUUGAAGUUAGUGGUCGUGACUGGAAUUUAUCUGUAAAGAUACUGCAAUACUUGGAGGUGUUGGGGAAAGCCUUUUUAAAGUUGCAGUUCCUGGAGCCAUGGGAAAAGAACAGGAUGUCCAUUUCUUUUUUUAAAAAGCAAAUUCUAGCCCUAGUUUAUGAAAUAAAACUGGAAAAUGUGAACUUGGGAGCUCUGAAAAUAGGAAUGAAUUGAAAGACUCCAAUACACGUGCACUUUUGCUCAUUUACUUACUUUUUUGUGACUUCCUGUUUCAGGAAACCUUGUUCAUAAUUUUUGAUGACUCAGGACUAGUGACUGUAUAGAUCCAGGGAGGAGUUUUUUUGCUCUGGCCUUCAAAUUUCUUAUGGGACACUCAUGGAGGGUCAUGGAUCUGGUAGCUAAAAACAUGCUGGGGACAGAUUUCCUGGGGACAACAUGUUUAUGGUGACUGAAAGGGCUUUGGGUUUGAAACGUGCAGGCCUUUCAUUAGCUUAUGUCCAGAUUUCUGUGUCUAACUCUGGUAACAAACCUGCCAAACAGCUCUGAGAGAUAAAGCAAGAGGGCAGGGAGGGAGCUGGGGUACAAGGCAAUGCACUAUCGGGUGCACGUCUCGGUUUUGAACAGUUAGUCACAGAUCUCUGAGAGACAGAAGGCUAAAAUCUAAGCAAGGAUACAACUCUUUUGCAAACCAGUGGCCUAACUGUUAAUUCUUAAAUAUAAUCACCAGUACCAUGCCUCUGGAGAGCUGUUUCUCUCGUCCCUCACACACAGCAAGGAGCAUAUCAAUAAGCUCUUCAGAGGAGAUGGAUGGAUAGCUUAAUUCACUUUGCAAAUCUAUGGAAGCAACACUUUAGCACUUUGGCACAAACUGUCUCUGACAUUGAAAAUUAGUAAAGAAAAGAAGUGGUGAAAAUGUCAGGAGCGGGAGGACUUCAUUUUUCUCUUGUUUAAAAUGUCAUCUGUUAUCUGCAAUCAAUGCAAGGAGACAACUUCCCAUACCAUAAUGAUUUACAGUAUGUUUAUAGGCACGGAUAGAAGUAAUCACAGGGUUAGGCGAAUGUUUCUUGGUGAAUUCUUCAAGUGUCAGAAGUGCUUAGUUCUGCAGUUCUCUCUUCCCAAGAAUGCAGAGGAGAUCGGCACGGAGAGCUACGCGAUUUCUGCAUCUCCAUACACAAACCCAUAAAAUCCACAGCCUAUCUGGUCUCAGCUAUGUACAAACAUAUCCCAUGACCAGAUGCCUACGACUUUUAAAAAAAUGUUGCCUUUACCACUGAAGAAAAGGCAAUAAAUAUUUUUCACUCUUUUCAUAUCUAAACAAAUAUGUAUGAAAGGAAAUACACUCAUGGUCCUGGUGCUAGAUUUAAUGUUUUAAACUUUCCAUUGUUUGGAAUUUCCUGUUUAGUGCCUUGAAAAUAAAACUUCCAUUACUGA
Long non-coding RNA from Aquila chrysaetos chrysaetos, 5480 nucleotides. RefSeq lists it as uncharacterized. Lineage: Eukaryota; Metazoa; Chordata; Aves; Accipitriformes; Accipitridae. The record is from RefSeq and is a predicted model, not a curated record. The transcript is spliced from 3 exons.